GUUCACCCUCACAACAUCCCAAGCCCUUCAGUACCUGCAGAAGAUGAGCCUCCUGUUUUUUAUGGAAAACAGGGGCCUGUCUCUCGUUUCACCUAAUUAAAACACCCACAGGUGUGGAGGGGCAACCCACCCCUUCACUUGGACAUCAGACUCCAGGUUCUUCUGCCUUUGGACUCUGGGACUUGCACCAGCAGCUUCCCCGAGGCUCUCAGGCCCUGAGCCUGAGACUGAAGUUUGCACUGUGGGCUUCCCUGGUUUUGAGGCUUUUGGACUUGGACUGAGCCACCACCAGCUUCUCUCUUUCCCCAGCUUGCAGACAGCCUAUUGUGGGACUUUGCCUUGUAAUCCUGUGAACCGAUUCUCUCUAAUAAACUCCCUUUUUCAUA
Homo sapiens (human) is the source of this 386-nucleotide long non-coding RNA. RefSeq lists it as uncharacterized. The transcript has 2 exons. NCBI's taxonomy places the organism in Eukaryota, Metazoa, Chordata, Mammalia, Primates, Hominidae. The record is from RefSeq and is a predicted model, not a curated record.